UACGUAGGGUGCAAGCGUUAAUCGGAAUUACUGGGCGUAAAGCGUGCGCAGGCGGUUUUGUAAGUCUGUCGUGAAAUCCCCGGGCUCAACCUGGGAAUGGCGAUGGAGACUGCAAGGCUAGAAUCUGGCAGAGGGGGGUAGAAUUCCACGUGUAGCAGUGAAAUGCGUAGAGAUGUGGAGGAACACCGAUGGCGAAGGCAGCCCCCUGGGUCGACACUGACGCUCAGGCACGAAAGCGUGGGGAGCAAACAGG
This 253-nucleotide ribosomal RNA is filed under the name uncultured bacterium. RNAcentral describes it as "partial 16S ribosomal RNA". It matches the Rfam family "Bacterial small subunit ribosomal RNA", at positions 524 to 776 of the family's 1533-position model. The record is from RNAcentral.